RNA transcript from Phalaenopsis equestris, 4116 nucleotides. RefSeq lists it as uncharacterized. The transcript is spliced from 5 exons. NCBI's taxonomy places the organism in Eukaryota, Viridiplantae, Streptophyta, Magnoliopsida, Asparagales, Orchidaceae. The record is from RefSeq and is a predicted model, not a curated record.
GAAAACAUAUCUUGAAAAUAUGCGGGCCCACAUUUUCAUUAAAACACGGAAAACCGCUGCGAGCCGAACCCGAGCGGUUGAGAUAGCCCUAGUUCGCAGUCCAUACUCCCUCUCGGCGCAACAUCAAAGCUCGAUCCCAAUUCUCUACUGCUCAUUGUCGAUGCCAAUUCUCGUCUCACCGCCCCGCGGCAUUGGAGCGUUUCUCAUCUCCCCACUGCUCGACAUCGGCACAUAUCACCUGCUCGAUCUCCACAUAUUGGUGCUGGUUCUGUUUCUUUUUUUUUGAGACUACCUCGAGAGGGUUCUCAGCAUCUGUGCUCAGAUUCCUUCCAAGUCUGCUUCGGGACAUGUUGAUCAAUGCUUGAACCUUUUUCCGGUUUAUCCUUUAUUCCCUCCAAGAUGUAUAUUGAUCUAAUGGUAGUUGGAGAAGGCGUCGAGGAAGCUCAUCACGGAAUGACCAAUUGUUGUUUAUACUAGCACGUUAUCUAUGGAUGCAAGAGCUAAAUACGAACGAGUUAGAACGAGAAAAAUCAAGCGAAAAGUGCCAUGAAGCGACGUGACCACACCACCUAUUGAAUAUAGACAGUGUGACCACGCCGGAAUUGGUGUGAUCACACCACCUGGAGCAGUAGGGCGGCGUGACCAUGCUGACCCAUGUAUCUAGCUGCAUGACCACACCAAUGAGCGGGAAAAUACUUUAGAAAGGAAAUUUGAUAGCCCAUGCUGUGAUUCCUGCUAUAAAAUCAAUUCUUAGGGUUUAUUGGAGGAAGUUCUGCAUUAGAGGAGGCUUGGACGCUAAAAGAAGAGAAUUUGAGAGAGAUUUUGAGGGGUUUCUUGAAGUUUGCUUUCUCCUUUCGUGGAAGCCUUUAAGGGAGAGUUUUUCUUUAUUUUGUAUUUAUGAACGAGUUGUAUGAGAGAAAGGUGCUGACCUUGCAGAUAAACUAAUUUCUUGUAAGUUUUUCAUAAUAAUGUUGCUUGCAAUGAAUUUUCACAUGGUGUUUUUCGCUAUGGUUCUCUCCCUAAUGAGCGGCUAAAUUUUUCGUGUCUUUGUGAUGUAGUGAGUAGUGUAUGUAUUGUAGAUUUUCUGUAAUAUUCUUUUGUUAAUCAUUUUCUUUCUUCUGUUUUCAUAGCCUAUGUUGGUUAACCUCAGAACUUAAUUCACCCAUAGUUUGAUUAACUAGGAUGUUAAAAUGUUUCAUAAAACUAUGACCUCUAACUGUUGCGUAGUGGAAAUGAAGAGUUAACCACAUAAUUCCAAAAGAAUAGACAUAUUCCAGCGGAAUUCUACAAUCCUUUCAGGGGAUGGAAAAAAAACAUGCUGAAUGUCAUGGUAAUUGAGGAAGUCUCAACUUCAUGAGUUGUAGACUUCUUUUAACCUAGACAUAGGCAUAAGAAGUAUUAUGUCCCUGAUUGACAACAGUCACAUAGGAAAACAUUUAGGAAGAAUCAUGGUCGUCACAAUCCUCAAAUCACAGAGACACAAGCCUCAUCUAUCUUGAAGUAACUUAUGAGCUUCUCCUAUUUUCUGCUUUCUUUCAUUGCCGAGUAUUCUAUUUUGCUAGGACCUUAGGACUUAAAAACCUUCUUUUGACAAAGACUAAGCUAGGUUAACUAGAUCAGUAAAUUAAAGAUAUUAUGUGGAAACAAAUAUUACACUUUUCCUGUGGAAUCGAUAAGCGGUACUCUUGAACUGCAUUAUUACUUGACACAUGCACUUGCGUUAUACGGUCAACUUAUGUCUCGAUAAGUUUUGAUGCUUUCUAUCUAUAGGGCAAGUUUUGUUCAAAUUAGUGAAGUCAACACAUUUUUCACUUGAAAAUCGAUUUCUACACCAUGAUAACAUUUAACACCCAUAUCGGUUACUAAACCCCUUCGAUGUAGUCGACCUCCAACAACUUUUGGACCUCCUGGAUUGGCUCUGUUAGGGUAAGGGCAGACGUCCUCAUCCUUUGCCUCAUAAGUUGAGCCCCCAGGUUGACCUUUAGGUGGUUGCAAGGCAUGUGAAUCAGUCCUCCAAGCACUCGGUGACAUACCGAGAAAAAAAAAUCUCAGUGGCUCUAGAUGGUGUCGAUCAAUGCAUUCUUGUGACAUGCAUCAAAAGUUUCACUUAGUAAAAAAUAUUACCAGUGUCGCCUUCAGUUGCAGGGAUCUGAUGGGUGGUCUUGUUCGUCUCGAGACCCUCUUCUCGUAGGUCGUCGAUCUUAAGGAGUUCCUUCUAGAUGCCCACAGAGCGAUCAAUCAUUCACUCUUAAGGCCCAUCUUGUCAAACACCAACUUAAAGGGGAUGUUCACAGAGCUGUCUGUGUUAAUGAGGGUGUUAAUAAUCUGACAGUUGUCAAUCAACACAGUUAAAUUGGUAGCUUCAUUGUAGAGAGUACCCUUAGGAGGCAAGUCUUCACUGGUAAAGACUAUGGGUAGAUGUGAGCAAUGUUUGGGUGCGAGGGUGGCUGCGCAUAACUCUCUCGAUCGAAGCCUCUUCGGGCUAGCUUGGCAGGACAAGUUUCCAUCUCCUUCAAAGAGGAUGGGAACUACAACAGUGAUACAAAUUUCUUGAAUUCAAACUAGUCUGUCUGAUAUUUUUUCAACUGGAGCCUUCCCCUGCAGCUGGCUCAUUGCUCCAAGUGCCACAAAUUCCUUCAUUCUCCUCAAUUUGAUUAACUCCUUGAUUAAGCUUCAAAGGUGUCGAAAGUCAUUUUUGUUAUGACUUGAUCACAAUGAUAGGAGUAAUAUUUCUUAGGAUCUCGGAGGUAAGCUCCCGCCUUCAUCAGAGGCACUCUUUGACUGUAAAUUUUAAUUUGUGUGGCCUAUAUUAUCUCGACUAUUAAAACUCUCAACAGAGUUAGUUUGGUUGUUUCAUGGUUGGGUAGCGGGUACUGGUCAUACCAAGUUGGAUGCUGGUAAGGAUAUCAGGCCUGACUCCCUCGGUGGUUCAUUCUAUCGGUCGUCUGAUGAUCUUGGGGUGACCGAGCAUCUUCAUAACAAGGGUGGGCAUAAGGGUGUGAAUUGUGUCUUAGUUUCCACUUUUUUCCUUGAGCGUUCCUUUUCUGUGGGUGAUACGUGGAGGAUUCUACUUUGGAGGGUGCGGGUUGGAGUUAUACUUCUUUGUUGAUAUGUGAUUAUUGGCUAGCUCCAACAACUCAACUAGUGUCUUUGGCCGCUAUAGGCCUAAAUUGUAUCAGAAGGGUCCUUCUUUCAGCCCUUGUGUUUGGGCGGCUCGGGCAACCGUGGGUUCUAGGUGCUGUACUUCCAACAUCUCAUUCUUGAAGACUAUAUCUGGCAAAGUUGUAGAAAGGUGAGCACUGAUAAAUUAUGCCACAAAUAUCCACUUGAAAUCAACAAAUGACAUGAUUACUCGAAGCACUUGAUGGCUGACUCCCUCAGCGUAAUAAAGAAAAAAAAAUGAAAUUUUAGCACGUGAGUGAUUCUCAGCAAACACGCGAUCGACUCUAACGAAAGCUAUAUGUUCAGUCAAAUCGGUCCGCCCCUUGUAUGACUCAUGACUUCAACACUGGGAUCUUGAAUCGCUUUGGAGGCUUGACCUAAAAGAUUUGCCAUGAGAAUGCAUUCUUAGGCUGAUGGGGCACCUCAACUUGUUCGAAUAAAUGCUUAUUGAUUGAUGGGGACCUAAUUUGCCUUCCCUCUCUAGAGUUGGCGGGGCUCUUCUAUCGUUGGGUGCCGAACUUUCAUCCGGGGGCCGCUAAGAUAUCAGCGUGCCUUAGAUGACCUCCAAUAUCUGAUCCUUCAACUUUUGGAUUUGUUAGGCCGCUAAUAAUCUGGUGCACUCGAUGUUGUCAGUGUCUCUGUUAUGGUGAUCUUCUAUUUGAACUACCCCUCUUUUUAUUUGUGGCAUGAUCCACUCUCAUCAUAUCUUUUAGGCUGUUGAAUCCAUAUUUGUCCAUGAAUUACACCUAGGGGUGUAAAUGAGUUGAGUCGAGUUGAGGUCGAGCCAUUCCACCCUUGUGCUUGAGAUAGAUUAAUUUAAUCCAGUUCAAGCUCGAGCUCGAGCUUAGUUCUACAAGUUCGGGCCGGCUCAUGAGCUUUCUUGUUUAGCAUGAGAGAGAAAUUUUUAAUUUAAGCUAAUGUUAUAAUUAAAUGACAGAUAGAAUAAGUAUUUAU